RNAcentral lists this long non-coding RNA (1306 nucleotides) under Helianthus annuus (common sunflower). The record is from RNAcentral. Lineage: Eukaryota; Viridiplantae; Streptophyta; Magnoliopsida; Asterales; Asteraceae.
GGUAAUAAACAUAGUUGCAUCUAUACCAAACAAGUAUUAUCUGAAACGAUACGUAACAAAGCUCAUACCAUCGGUGCCCUAAUUUUGAAUCGAUACGUAUGAAACAGAGUCUAUCCGUCUGCGAUUGAACAACAACCAAAUUCCGUCCGGAGAUUGGAGCUAUAAAUCGACUGAAUCUAUCUCGAUUGGAGCUAGAAGUCAAUUGAAUCUGUUUCGAUUGGAAUUAUGCGAUUGAAAACCUAGAUUUGAACACCGAAUCUCAUAAGAAUACUGAAUAUUUGGAGAAUAAUUGAAGAUUAAGUUCUAUUGGAAGGAAUCAUUUAUGAAGAAAUCAGAAUCGUUAACGGAGAUUAUGUCCAUCGGUUUCUCUCUUUUCAUCUAUAACAUCAGGAAGGUCGGAGUAGUUAAAGGCGCACACAAGUCGCUAAGGACUCCGGGGACAACACAAUAAUACUUUAUGUGGUUUUGCACAAUAUGCCUAGGCCUUACCUUGCCUGGGCUCCUAGGUUUGCAGGAGUACUUCCAUGAGAAAGACUUUUUGAAUCAUCAAGAAGUAUUUGGAAUCUUCUUCCAUAGCUAAAAAAGUAGAAUGGUCCUUUCAAAACGUGCUGGGAAGUAUGCUUGACUUCUAAGGUUAAUUCCAACAACAGAAUCCCAUUUUAUUGUCCAAGAGUUGAACAUAGAGCUCAACAAUCUUCAUACCUUGAGCGAAGGUGUUUCUAAUGCUACCCCUAUGUACAACAAAAGUGUAUUAGAGAACAUGUUUAUGGGACAUGGUGCAGAAUUUGUUAAAAUGGCUUUCUUAGGAUGAAGGCCUUACAGGAGGCUUUAGUUUUGCUUAAGGUAUGGGCUCGACAAAGAACUUCUUUGAACAUUUAUGGUUCUGUGAAUGGGUACCUUAUAUCUCAAUCCUAAUGGCUUACCUUGCAUCAGAAUUUUGUAAAGCUCGUCUUAACAACGCAAUGACAGUAAUGCAUAUCUUUCGUAUCACAUUGGGCUUUAUUCUCUAAUUGAAAGGGGGUGGGGGUACUUGGAGCGACGUAUGAUCUUCAUGGGUCAGACAUCACUACUGAGGUUUCUGAUGAUCCAGAGAUAUGGGCUCAUGUGUGGCAGGAGGUAGCAGGGACAGGGUAUAUGAGCCAGUGGGAGUAAUCAGUGUUGAAUCUCAUUUGGACAAAUUUGUUAGUUGUGUGGUGAAUUUAAAACAGGUUUUAUAAUUUUUUUGGUGAUUUUUUUUGCAUUAUUUAGUAGAAUGGGAUCUGUCUUUUCUUUUAGCUUUUUUUAUUUAUUUUUAUUUUUUUUAUUU